ACAAACACAGACAGACAGACAGUGCAGUCACCCAUAAAGUAGAAAGCACUACUAACAGCAAUGUAGGGUGUAGUGUUUCCUACUUUAUGGAUGAGUGUACUGUGGGCUUCGGAGACACGCCGUCAGUCACCCUCACCAUCCGUCUUCUGG
MicroRNA precursor from Sarcophilus harrisii (Tasmanian devil), 150 nucleotides. Ensembl annotates it as sha-mir-142. Its record names the gene sha-mir-142. NCBI's taxonomy places the organism in Eukaryota, Metazoa, Chordata, Mammalia, Dasyuromorphia, Dasyuridae. The record is from Ensembl.